This is an RNA transcript of Carlito syrichta (Philippine tarsier), 904 nucleotides long. It is a transcript of the gene named patched domain-containing protein 4 pseudogene, with no coding region annotated. The record is from RefSeq and is a predicted model, not a curated record. The transcript has 2 exons. NCBI's taxonomy places the organism in Eukaryota, Metazoa, Chordata, Mammalia, Primates, Tarsiidae.
GCCUGCGAGCUGGAUCUGGUGGAGGAUGCUGCGGCAGGUGCUUCGCAGAGGGCUCCAGUCGUUCUGCCACAGGCUGGGCUUGUGCGUGAGCCGGCACCCGGUCUUUUUCCUCACCGUGCCCGCAGUCCUGACCAUCACCUUCGGCCUCAGCGCGCUCAACCGCUUCCAGCCCGAGGGCGACCUGGAGCGCCUGGUCGCGCCCAGCCACAGCCUGGCCAAGAUCGAGCGCAGCCUGGCCAGCAGCCUUUUCCCCCUGGACCAGUCCAAAAGCCAGCUCUAUUCGGACUUACACACCCCUGGGAGGUAUGGCAGGGUGAUCCUCCUCUCCUCACCCGGGGACAAUAUUUUGCUCCAGGCUGAGGGGAUCCUGCAGACCCACCGAGCCGUGCUGGAAAUGAAGGAUGGGAGGAACAGUUUUAUUGGACACCAACUGGGCGGGGUAGUGGAAGUGCCAAACAGCAAAGACCAGCGGGUCAAGUCAGCCAGAGCCAUUCAAAUCACCUACUACCUCCAGACCUAUGGCUCUGCCACUCAAGACCUCAUAGGGGAGAAGUGGGAGAAUGAGUUCUGUAAGCUUAUGAGGAAGCUCCAGGAGGAGCACCAAGACCUCCAGCUCUACUCUUUAGCAUCUUUUAGCCUCUGGAGAGACUUUCAUAAGACCAGCAUCCUGGCCAGAAGCAAGGUCCUGGUGAGCCUUGUGCUGAUCCUGACCACAGCCACACUCUCGAGCUCCAUGAAGGACUGCUUGCGCAGCAAGCCCUUCCUGGGCCUCCUGGGGGUGCUCACAGUCUGCAUCUCCAUCAUCACAGCAGCAGGGAUCUUCUUCAUCACAGAUGGAAAGUACAACUCCACCCUGCUGGGAAUCCCGUUCUUCGCCAUGGGUAACUAUCCAUCCUUGUGGUAA